AAGGAUUUCAAUGCAACAAUUAGAUAAAUGAUGCACACAUAUUCCAAUUGAUUAAAACAAUACAAAACCAAGUCACAAAAACGAAAAGACCAAGUGAAACAAUCAUGAAUUUGCAAGAAACAACAAUAAAGAUGAACGCAUGAAACCUAACCCAAAAUCAAUAAGAAAAAAUACAAUGCAAAGACUAAUAGAAAAGUAAUAGAAUGAAAUGCCUCAAGAACAAAAAGGCUGAAGAUCCCAAGGACGCAAGGUAUAGAGAGAAACCAAACUGACAAAAAGGAAAUACAAAAUCUCCUCACGGAUAACUAAGUCUUAAAUUUUUAUUCUCUCUAACCAAGUCGAACUAAGUCUUGAAUUCUCAUUCUCUCUGACCAAGUCUUCAAUAUGGUGGCAUAAUGUAUUGUAUUAGGUGGUGCAGGACAAAAAUUCAAGAGGUCUAAAUUGAACAACUAAUUCUCUUUUUCUCUAUUCCUAGUUUAAUGCAUGUGCUUAGACGUAAAAUACGAAAGAAUAACAAACAAAAAGAUAAUAUGAAG
RNAcentral lists this long non-coding RNA (536 nucleotides) under Amborella trichopoda. RNAcentral describes it as "long non-coding RNA (ATRI_LNC004619)". The record is from RNAcentral. Lineage: Eukaryota; Viridiplantae; Streptophyta; Magnoliopsida; Amborellales; Amborellaceae.